AUGGUGGUAACGGGUAACGGGGUGUUAGGGCACGACACCGGAGAGGGCCUGAGAAACGGCUACCAAAUCCAAGGAAGGCAGCAGGCGCGCAAAUUACCCAAUCCCGACACGGGGAGGUAGUGACAAUAAAUAACAAUACAGGGUCCUUUCGGGUCUUGUAAUUGGAAUGAGUACAAUUUAAAUCUCUUAACGAGGAACAAUUGGAGGGCAAGUCUGGUGCCAGCAGCCGCGGUAAUUCCAGCUCCAAUAGCGUAUAUUAAAGUUGUUGCAGUUAAAAAGCUCGUAGUUGAAUUUCGGGAUCAGUGCGUCGGUCGUGCCUUGGGUACGUACAGCGUCAUUGAUUCCUCCCUUCUGAAGAACCGUGAUGUCAUUAAUUUGGUGUUACGGGGAAUCAGGACUGUUACCUUGAAAAAAUUAGAGUGUUUAAAGCAGGCUAACGCUUGAAUACAUUAGCAUGGAAUAAUGAAAUAGGACGUUCGAACCUAUUUUGUUGGUUUCUAGGAUCGACGUAAUGAUUAAUAGGGAUAGUUGGGGGCAUUAGUAUUCAAUUGUCAGAGGUGAAAUUCUCGGAUUUAUUGAAGACUAACUACUGCGAAAAAGGAUGUCUUCAUUAAUCAAGAACGAAAGUUAGGGGAUCGAAGACGAUCAGAUACCGUCGUAGUCUUAACCAUAAACUAUGCCGA
This 683-nucleotide ribosomal RNA is filed under the name uncultured Glomeromycotina. Its description in RNAcentral is "SSU rRNA". It matches the Rfam family "Eukaryotic small subunit ribosomal RNA", at positions 346 to 1045 of the family's 1831-position model. Lineage: Eukaryota; Fungi; Glomeromycota. The record is from RNAcentral.